UACGUAGGGUGCAAGCGUUGUCCGGAAUUAUUGGGCGUAAAGAGCUCGUAGGCGGUUUGUCGCGUCGGCUGUGAAAACCCAGGGCUCAACCCUGGGCCUGCAUUCGAUACGGGCAGACUAGAGUAUGGCAGGGGAGACUGGAAUUCCUGGUGUAGCGGUGAAAUGCGCAGAUAUCAGGAGGAACACCGGUGGCGAAGGCGGGUCUCUGGGCCAAAACUGACGCUGAGGAGCGAAAGCGUGGGGAGCGAACAGG
This 253-nucleotide ribosomal RNA is filed under the name uncultured bacterium. RNAcentral's name for it is "partial 16S ribosomal RNA". It matches the Rfam family "Bacterial small subunit ribosomal RNA", at positions 524 to 776 of the family's 1533-position model. The record is from RNAcentral.